Molecule: long non-coding RNA, 2255 nt
Filed under: Ananas comosus (pineapple)
Lineage: Eukaryota; Viridiplantae; Streptophyta; Magnoliopsida; Poales; Bromeliaceae
Description: long non-coding RNA (ACOM_LNC041796)
Source: RNAcentral
AUGAGCCGAAUGGAUGGAACAACACACCAACUGGUCGGCCGAAAGAGCUGAAUGCCUUUUAAAUAUAUUGAAAAUGACUUGGCGAAACAGUACAAAGAUCGAGUGUGCUUGAUAGCAUACAGACUCGAUUGAUCUAUCUAAAAUUCUACUCCUAUGGAAAAGCGGUAAAUGCAGGAAAGUAAAGGAUUACAGGUAGAUUACUCUUAGAAAAAUGCGAAGAAGUUAUAAGAAAAUAAGGGCGGUCUUCUAUCAUCGGGGAAAAAGACAUUUUUUUAGGGCGUUAUUGGCCUAUUUAUAGACAGCCUUUGUUAAUCAGUUAUUGUUUACUCAUGAUCGGCUACUACCCCUGUUUUCUCGGGCCACUUUCGACCGAUCAGAACCGCUUGUGUAACCACUCGCGGUUACUAUAACUUCCCUUAAUUCGCGCAGUGAUUACUUGGGAUUUCUUCCGAUCUUCCCAGUGCACAAUAAAAUCCUUAUCAUUAAAGAAUAGAGUUGGGUGGAGCACCGGUGUACUACUUGGCCGCGCCUUAUCGGCCCAACACUCUUCCUCUUCCUCUCCCUCUUCAUGCUAGUUUCGAACUCGUAACUAGAAUUUUUCCGUCCCCAUUCAUUUACGACACGUGUUGCUUCGCCUCUAUCGAAUGCAUGUUGCUCCACCAUUCAAUUUCCUAAAGUGAGAGAAGAGAUUGCAAUAAGGGUGGAUUGGAUUGGGUUAUAAAAAGAAAGAAGAUGACCAAUAGAAAUUUUUUAAGGAUAUUUCUGUACUAUUAUAGCAGUUGGAAUUUUUAGAGGAACAUAUCUGUAAUGACAAAAUUGAUAUUUUAUUUAUCUGCUGUUAAAAACUACACAGUUCUCUAACACUCCGUUUGGAAUGGGUACAAGAGGAGGGAUAACCAAACACAAUUUGGGGUGUAGAACACUUGUUCCACCCCAACCUAGUACAAGGGGUGUCCUUGUACCAGGGUGGAACAAGUGUUCCACCCCAAGGGGUGGAACAAGGGGUGGAACACUUGUUCCACCCCUCCCGGGUGGAGAGAGAGAAAGAGAGAGAGAAAGAGAGAUAUCUUUAAUUUAAAUUUAAAUUUCUAAAAUUUAUAAUUUAGUUUUUUAAAAUUUAAAUUUAUAAUUUUAAAUUAUAAAUUUGAUAUUUGUAAUUUUUAAAUUUUAAAUUUAAUUUUUUAGAUUUAAAAUUUAAAAUUUUAUAUUUUAUAUCUUUCAAAUUUAAAUUUAAUCUUAAAUUUAAAAUUUUAUAUUUAAAAUUUGAAAUUUGAAAAUUAUAAGUUUUAAUUUUAAUUUCAAAUUUUAAAAUUUAAAAGUUAAAAUUUUUAAUUUAAAAUUAUUAGUUUAAAAUGUUAAAUUCAAUUAUAGAGGUAAAAUUAUUAUUUUCUAUCUAUAACUGCCAACUAUUCCACCUUAUACUCAGAUUUUCAUCCAAACACAAUUUUUCUAGUUCCAGCUUAUAUUCACAUUUUCAUCCAAACAAAAAAAUACCCUUAUUUCUACGAAAAUCCAUUCUUGUACCUAUCCCCGGUAUAACUAGUUCUUGCUUAUAUCCGAACCAAACGAAGCUUGGUAACAAAUCAGAGGGACAAAUAUAAAUAUCACUCGACUUUUACAAAAAUAAGAGUUAAAAAGUUGAAUUUUGUAGGGAUAUAUUUAUUAUUCGUUAUAUUUACAGGGAGUUGUAUGCAAUUAAUUCAAAAAAAGGAAAAUUUUCAAAUACCACCUAGUGGUUUCGCACUUUUCACUUUAGUACCCUGUGUUUUAAAGUAUAUCAAGUUAGUACCAUGUGAUUUCGCACUUUCUCACUUUAGUACCAUGUGGUUUAAAGUGCAUCAAUUUAGUACCAUGUGGUUUCUUCUUCUUUUUUUUUCGUCGGCUCCUCUGUUAAUAUUUCGUUAAAUUAUAGACAAAACUUCAGAUACCCUACCUAAAUUUAACGAAUAUUUAUUUUAGUACCUUUAGUUUUAACUUUGUCAUUGAUAUUUUUUCCUCCGUUAAUAUUCGUUAAAUUAUAUACAAAAAAAUUCAGAUACCCUAUCUAGAUUUUUCGAAUAUUCACUUUAGUACUCUUUAAUUUUAACUUUGUUACUGAUUUAACGAAAAAAUAGUGAAAUAGAAAAUAAAAAGAAAAAAAUGAAACCACAGGGUACUAACUUAAUACACUUUAAACCACAGAGUACUAAAGUAAAAAAGUGCAAAACCACAUGGACUAAUUUGAUACACUUUAAAUUAUAGAGUACUGAAGUAAG